ACUGCGACAGACUAUGAAGACCGACAACUGACUAGCAUCAACAUGGGCCGUGUCGUCAGUGCAUGCGUUGCUGGUAUUUCAGGAAUGAAAUAAACGAACGACGGCGCCCGCAGUCACGAACUUGAAGGUCGCCUAGUAUACGGCCAAAGACCAUCCGAAAUGGUACGAUACGUUUUAAACGGAUAACAGUUAGGAAAAUCCCGAAACAGAAUUAACAAUAUUGACAUACAUCUACAAAUAAGAAUGACAAUAUUCUGAAUCCUUAGGAGAGUCUUGCUUGAUGAGAGACAACUAGUUAGCACAUGCAAACGUUAAAGAGUUGUACACACCGAAACGAAGCAGACAAACGUUGGAAAAACGAUAUUGAACUGGAUGGAGAAGAGAAGCACUUUGAGUCCGAAAAGUGGGCCGUUCAACAGACUAACGAUGACAGCAAAGAUUAGAAAUGGGCCAAGAAAACGUGGGGUUAAAAGUCUGUUGAGACAUCGAUUCAAAACGGACACUAGGGAGGAGGAAACCCGUUUAUUCUGACGAGGCGCUUUCAUCGGCUUUGUCACUAGAAAAGAUUUUCUAGUCGUCAUUUCAUCGUCGGCCAGUCUAUCCAUUAAGGCUAGGGAAACUAGAGAUGUAACCAGAAAGAGCCAAACGAGUUGUUCGCUUGUCAAAAAAACUGGCAUUUUGCUGCCCGAUGGAAAUGGACUUGCACUUUGGUUCGGUCGCUUUCACCGCAUUCAGACGACAGAAACAAUAAUGAAAAAGAGUCCUGCUCGUCCACGGUUACAGUGAUUAAACAAAAAACAAACAAGUAGUGUCAAUAACGUUCAGCUCCUUCCCGGGCCAAUCGCUUAGCAGCUGACGAUCCAUCGUCGUAUAUUCCGGGGCCUUUGAGUCGUCUUCCUCCAGCCGUUAUCCAUCCAGUAAAAGAUGAGAUUUUCAUUUACGUUGCGGAGGUAUUUGGAUUCUGUAUGGAUGGCCAUCCGGCCGAUUCCCCACGCCUUAGCAAUUUUAAUCGCUUCGAUGGCUGCUCGGAUUUCUGCAGCACUUUUAGAAGUAUCAUCUCGGUCAUCUAACGGCUCACUCACAUUUCUGCCUGAGCAUCUGGAUGCCCUUGCUGAAGACAGAUGCCGUCAGUGUAAACGCGAACGAAUCCGUUUCGAUUGAUACUGAAAUUGUGAAUCAAUUUCUCUGGAACGGCUGGCGGGUUGACGUAACGGGCCGAUCCGAUUCGCAUGAGGUCGACAAUCCAUUCAGCGUUUUGCGCAGCUUCACACAAAUCGUGCCAGGAGACAUCUUCAUCGAUGAUGUGCUCAAACAGGUAGGACGAAUGCAAUUCUCUCCAAACGGAUCGUUGCAUUCCUCGCACAAGGACAUCUUUUUUCACACCACGACGGAACAAAUUGUAAUCUGGAUCGGGAACGUCACGACAUCCAUAGGCUUCCAUGAAGGCUGCAUCAAUACGACGGGUAAAAUUGCGGAUGCGCUCUGUCCUUCCCUGUUUCAUCUUCUUCAGUUGAUGAUGAUGAUAGUACAUUUUGUUCUCUAUCGACGAAGUAUCCGUCGAUGCGUACAUUUUCGAACCUAAAUGCAAUUUUAAUGGACUUCACUGGAAAUAUUCUUGAAUGAUGUGAAACAAGUGAACGGUUUGCCCGUCAGCGAUUGACUAGCGUUCUUCUCGACUCAACAGCGGCCUGUUAUGGGAGAAAACGGAGAAAGGACAAAUCUUGUGGAUACUAUAACAACGGGAAAGUAGAGCAAAGAGUACAUUUUUAUUAAAUAAAAACAAGCUAUUGCGACGAUUUCUUUCACAAAGCAGAGCCAACCGGUUUGUGUCCCUUAUAGAUUAUCAAACUGUAAGUAACCUGCAAAUGCAAAGCGUGGGACUUAUAUCGAUUGGAGACAAUAACAAUUUAGCAAGAAGAAAAUUGAGGGGAUUGAGCGUGAAUACAUUUUAAUGUGUUUGCAUAUUGGGGAUCAAAAAAAAAUUUGGCGAUCUUUCUGCGCCGUCGCCUUUAAUUGCCCGGUCGAUAUCACAUUGGCGAACUCGGUAAACGAAUGUGAAGACGAGACCAAAGAGCAGAGCUUCAGCUAGGUAAUUGACAAGUGAGUUAGGCUGACAUAUUGCAACCGGUUGGAUCGACCUACUUUGUUUCAUAUGAACGGGUGAAACAGCCGGUGGCGAACAUGGGAUGUAAUCAGUAUAAUCCACUAGCAAUCCCAGCACAAAGAAUUGGAGCUUCAUGAUAGCGAUGAAUAGAGUCAAAGCGUGGGCUUUUUUCUACACGACCGUAAAACAUGAGUUAUAGUAAAUAAUGAUAUAAACACAGUAGGUACGUAGAAAGAGAAAAUGGGGAAAGGUUACCAUGCGACGAUUCCAAUUUGAUCUCUCUAAUCCUUUAAACGUCUUGACGAUAACGUUAAAACCCCAGUUGCCCAACAUACACAUUAGGACGUUCAGGCCAGCCAGGGUUUGAAACAGAGGCAUCACGAUAUACUGCAUUCAAAAAUUUAAAAGAUUUGUGUUCUGAACAUGGAAUAUUUGACUUAAAAAAUUUACCUCGGGAAGAAACUGAUUAAUUUCAGCUAUUUCCAAAACGACAGCAGCCAUCGUUAGCAGAAAUUGCCACAAUGGUGCCUGGUACACUCUUCUUCUCAUAGCUCGGAAUCCUCGUCUAUCAAGAAAGCAGAUCCCAAAGAAACAGCAAGGUGAUGCGCAAAGAGACAUGGGAACUCGGUUGUCCAUCAGUGUGUUAAGAAUUUGCUCUUCGUCACCGUCAAUCAUUAGUGCCAGAUCGAGAAAGUGCAUCAACAUGAACGGCAUAUACCUGAAAACAUCAAGAUUUCCAGCCCGUGGAACGAGAAACGACGUUAAGGAGAGCCAAGAUAUUAUCAUAGGCAUGGAAACUAACAACCAUAGAAAAUCAGUUAGUAACAAAAAAAAAAUGAUGAGCCAAGAAUUUUACCAAUCCAGCUGAGAGAACGUUGCCAUUCCCACGGACAUUUCCUGACGUUACUGCAAAUUUGGAUGAAGAAAAGAAGCGUUAACAGUCCAGAACUGGCAGUGCCUCCAUAAGCGAUACCCAGGCCAAUGAUACCGAAGGCUGUGACAAACGAGAUAUGCACGAUCCCAAUGAUAAACAGCACUAGAAAAACAUUUUAAUUGUUACCGUCAAAGUGUUGCGAAACAUCGGGUGGAUCGCUGUCAAAGUCGUAUCGACUGCAGUUGAAUUCUAGCAUAACAUCUUGUGACAAAUUCAUGAUGGAGCGACACCAAUCACAACAGUUUUGCCGGCCAGACUAAAAGUGCCGCACCCACAGGUGUAAGAGCGGCCGCGUCUAGUACCUGAAGUUGUUAUCUCAACAUCACUAGGCCAUUGUAUUACUUCAUAUCCGACCGCUGAUUAGGAACAUCCAGCAAUCGACCCUACUGAUAAAACACAAUAAAGCUGUCAUCAUGCAAAGCAAGAUGUCGUAAAAACCGUUACGUACCUGUAAAGCAGAAACUGGAACUACUAGGCAUAGUCGUGAUCCGGCCCGAAAACGUUGUGUUCCAGUAAAGCCAAGAUUUAUCAUGGCCAAGAUUAUCUUGGCAUUUCUUACGCCGUGCAAAAGCCAGUCUAGUUGUAUAGCUGUCAGCGUGUAAUCAUUCCUGUUUACGUCUCCUCACGAAUCUCAGAAGUCUCACUGGCGAAGGACGAGAUUGGCGAAGUUUCAGAGUUAGCUCAAUUUAAAAGUCCAUAGUGAGUCGUAAGAUUCUUUGAACGAAAGAGAAAGUUUGUUUCGCGUUCUUGAGUUUUUGUAAUUCUCAGAAAAGGUCUUGCUCAU
RNAcentral lists this long non-coding RNA (3822 nucleotides) under Daphnia magna. RNAcentral describes it as "uncharacterized LOC116931009, transcript variant X2". Lineage: Eukaryota; Metazoa; Arthropoda; Branchiopoda; Diplostraca; Daphniidae. The record is from RNAcentral.